RNAcentral lists this ribosomal RNA (375 nucleotides) under uncultured bacterium. RNAcentral describes it as "bacterial SSU rRNA". It matches the Rfam family "Bacterial small subunit ribosomal RNA", at positions 523 to 896 of the family's 1533-position model. The record is from RNAcentral.
AUACGUAGGUGGCGAGCGUUGUCCGGAAUUACUGGGUGUAAAGGGCGUGUAGGCGGGAUCUUAAGUCAGAUGUGAAAUUCCAGGGCUCAACCCUGGCGCUGCAUCUGAAACUGAGAUUCUUGAGUGCUGGAGAGGAAAGCGGAAUUCCUAGUGUAGCGGUGAAAUGCGUAGAUAUUAGGAGGAACACCAGUGGCGAAGGCGGCUUUCUGGACAGUAACUGACGCUGAGGCGCGAAAGCGUGGGGAGCAAACAGGAUUAGAUGCCCUGGUAGUCCACGCUGUAAACGAUGAAUACUAGGUGUAGGAGGUAUCGACCCCUUCUGUGCCGGAGUUAACACAAUAAGUAUCCCACCUGGGGAGUACGGCCGCAAGGUUG